RNAcentral lists this long non-coding RNA (233 nucleotides) under Lupinus angustifolius (narrow-leaved blue lupine). RNAcentral's name for it is "long non-coding RNA (LANG_LNC001540)". Lineage: Eukaryota; Viridiplantae; Streptophyta; Magnoliopsida; Fabales; Fabaceae. The record is from RNAcentral.
AAGACCAUAACCCUAGGGUGGGGAUAUAAGUGAAAGUGCAAAGUAUCAAGGAUCGCACUAGCAAUGCUUUGCCUACGUUUUGAUGAAGACAAGGUUUUAUUAAAGCUUGAAGAUGGCUCAACAAUCAACAUGCCUAGAGCUCAUUGGUCAUACCUAGACUAUGUUAUAUCAAUAGAGUCAUUAUUCUAAGUAGUCUAGGAUGUGUGCCUUAGUAAGUGAGUAUAGGUGAGGUG